CUGGGAAAGAGAUUGUGGAAAAGGCAAGUAGAGAAUAAAAUGGAAGGACUCAUGCUGUAUUGAUAACUUUCGACUGGUUUAGUUAUUUAAACAAGAAAACCAAACCGUUUGAUUUUUUAAAAUUACAUUAUUAGUGGUUUGCCUGAACUGACUAGCUAUUUGGUCAAAAAGAGUGGAUAAAUUGUGGGUAUGUAGACAAGAUACAUAUAGUAUGCUGAUGAAAGUCACACAUUCUUAUUGCUGGUUCAGUUUAGAUGCUCAAUAACGCACAGCUGUGAUGUCUCUUGUCCAAUAAUCAUGGGACUGCUCCUGUUGCCAACUUUGCCUGUAGUUCACCAAAGUCAAGUUGCCCAAGGAGAAGCUGGACUUCGCAGAUAGUCAGUGGCAGAGCUGGGUUCAACCCUGGAUCUGGCUGACUUGAAUCCUGUUCACAUUCUUUUCUCCACUCUGCCUUAUUUGCUGUCACAUCUUGGCUGGCAGGCACAGAGUCAAACCUGACAGGGACCGUGAAAAGCCGGGAGUUUUCAGCCUGCUAGGCAAGCGGCAGUGCCAUAGAGAUAGACCUCAGAUGCUUGCUGCAUUCUCCGGGUGGACCGUGGGAGCCUUCGAACCUGGAGCCCAGGCCUUGCUGCAGCUGCUGUGCUUAUACUCCUC
Molecule: long non-coding RNA, 654 nt
Organism: Callithrix jacchus (white-tufted-ear marmoset)
Lineage: Eukaryota; Metazoa; Chordata; Mammalia; Primates; Cebidae
Source: Ensembl